GGKUACUGCUCCACCCUAAGUCCAACAAUGAGUACGGUAGUACGGACAUGGCCCACAGAGGGUGAAAGGCCCGUGGGGGUGGAGAUCAGGCAGGCCAGUACCUCUCUGGGUAGACCUUGGAGUCGGGUUGUUUGUGAAUGCAGCCCAAAGUGGGUGGUAAACUCCAUCCAAGGCUAAAUACUAGCACGAGUCCGAUAGCGAACAAGUACCGUGAGGGAAAGUUGAAAAGUACUUUGAAGAGAGAGUAAACAGUGCGUGAAACCGCUCAGAGGUAAGCGGGUGGAGUUGAACUGCAAGCUCUGGGGAUUCAGCUGGUGAGUGUGUUUUGAGCUUGGUCAAAUUGGUUGGACUUCGGGGUCUGCGUAGCAGCAGGUCUCUGCCCUCGGGUGGGGAUGCGCGAUGCACUUAUCAAGUGUUGUGCGCUCCGGAUGUUCUUCGAGCCGACUUGCCAGUGCACUUUCUCAGAGUGGUCACCACGACCGGCACUGCUGUCUGGCUGUUGUGGUUAAACCGGACUUGCAUUGGCCUCGUGUCUUUGCUUGGUCGGGAUGGCAGGUAGCCCGUUGGCUUGUCUGUGGCUUGCUGCAGACGUCGGCUUUCGGGUGUAAUCAGCUGACCUCAAUGGUUCUGUGCAGUGUGUCGGAGACGGCGGCUUGUGGUGUGUGCAUGYGCGUCUGGUUGCUGGCGUGUUCGGGUUUGGUUGCCAUGUCGCUUGUUCAAGCAAGCCU
Molecule: ribosomal RNA, 728 nt
Filed under: Orthosplanchnus arcticus
Lineage: Eukaryota; Metazoa; Platyhelminthes; Trematoda; Plagiorchiida; Brachycladiidae
Description: partial large subunit ribosomal RNA
Source: RNAcentral